ACAUCCAGAGAAUUUAGCAGAGAUGCUUUAGUGCCUUCGGGAACUCUGAGACAGGUGCUGCAUGGCUGUCGUCAGCUCGUGUUGUGAAAUGUUGGGUUAAGUCCCGNAACGAGCGCAACCCUUAUCCUUUGUUGCCAGCACGUAAUGGUGGGAAACUCAAAGGAGACUGCCGGUGAUAAACCGGAGGAAGGUGGGGAUGACGUCAAGUCAUCAUGGCCCUUACGAGUAGGGCUACACACGUGCUACAAUGGCGCAUACAAAGAGAAGCGACCUCGCGAGAGCAAGCGGACCUCAUAAAGUGCGUCGUAGUCCGGAUUGGAGUCUGCAACUCGACUCCAUGAAGUCGGAAUCGCUAGUAAUCGUAAAUCAGAAUGUUACGGUGAAUACGUUCCCGGGCCUUGUACACACCGCCCGUCACACCAUGGGAGUGGGUUGCAAAAGAAGUAGAUAGCUUAACCUUCGGGAGGGCGUUUACCACUUUGUGAUUCAUGACUGGGGUGAAGUCGUAACAAGGUAGGCGUAGCGAG
This 527-nucleotide ribosomal RNA is filed under the name uncultured bacterium. Its description in RNAcentral is "bacterial SSU rRNA". It matches the Rfam family "Bacterial small subunit ribosomal RNA", at positions 984 to 1509 of the family's 1533-position model. The record is from RNAcentral.